Long non-coding RNA from Electrophorus electricus (electric eel), 1315 nucleotides. RefSeq lists it as uncharacterized. Lineage: Eukaryota; Metazoa; Chordata; Actinopteri; Gymnotiformes; Gymnotidae. The record is from RefSeq and is a predicted model, not a curated record.
ACAAGGGAGCAUCCAGACAGAGCAGGGAUUUUACCCACGGCUGGAUAUUGAUUGCUAUGGAAGGGGGAAUGUCCGUUGGCCACAUUCCGUGAGACACUGGCAUCAUCGUUGUUCUCUAAGCCUCUCUACCUCCUGUUUGAGGGAAAGGACACAGAAAAAAAAGAGAACUGCUUCAGACCAUCAGACAUCCAAGAGGACCCCCCAACAUCUUCCACUAUGUUUCAAUAUUGGUCUCCUGAUGCAGGACUCGUGGAUGUGAGGGCGGUUCUUCCCAAAUCUCACUGGGGAUUCGUUUCUCCGUGGAGCUCUCUGUAUAGGCACAGAAGCCCCAGACCUUACCGAGGAGGCAUGAAUAGUCCCCCAGAGGGCUCGUUAGGGACAUCGGUGUCACCCCGAACGUCAGCCAGGAGUCCUUUUCUGGCUUCCUCAUGUGAGGCAGUGAGAAAGUCAUGAUCCAACUGAGGGAGAAGAGCCCCCAUGUCUAAAGCCAGCAGGAACCUGCCCCUGAGGACUGGGGGCUAGCGUCCGGAACUACCUCAGUUCUAGGGAGGGGCGUCCUCCCUAGAAUUUCUUGGGGGGCUGGUAGUCCCCUGGACCCUGCCCUCUAGGGGCCAACUGGGCUAUGCCGGACCGUCAUAAGGGCGGGUCAGGCUGGAGGCUGCUCAGGGGCAUCAUAACCAGUUGUGCCUUGUUUUCCUGUGUGACACUGCCACACUCUGUCCAGUGAGGUUGUUCCAGCUGGUGAAAGGGGUGUUGUCUCUGUCUCCAAUUUACGAGGAGGGUGCAGUACACCAGAGGGGGCCCCGUCCAAUGCCUGAUUGAUGAGGGAUCCCAGGAAGGCUCUAUUGACGUGGCACCUGUCUCUGUUUACUGUGCCACCCUAGCUGGUUAGGAUUUCUCACUACGCCUCCCUCAGGUGAUGUGUAUUGUGCACCAUUCUACACAUCACCUGAGAGUUGUUUUGUUAUGUUAUUAUGUUGUUCUCUUUAUAAGGCCUUUUUGUUUUGUGACCAUUUUUCUUUGUGAAUGUUAUGCCGGCUUGUUUUGUUCUCAUUAGUGCAAUUUUAUGUUCGGUUUUGCUUUCGUUGGUUUUCAUUAAACUCCUUAGUUGAUGCCUGCAACAGUCAUUGGACUUUGUCCUCUACCAUUAUAAUGGUAGUGCACUGUACACAACCUGGAAGGAGAAUGUUAGAUGAACUAAGGUUGAACAUUUCCAUUAUAAAAAUCUUACCCAAAAAUAUGCUUAUUAAACACCUCUAAUUGACCCAAGGCAAAUACCACUGUAUGCAUAUCAUUCCCAAAUGUGCUUGUUUGU